This 414-nucleotide ribosomal RNA is filed under the name uncultured bacterium. Its description in RNAcentral is "bacterial SSU rRNA". It matches the Rfam family "Bacterial small subunit ribosomal RNA", at positions 32 to 423 of the family's 1533-position model. The record is from RNAcentral.
AAUCAACGCUGGCGGCGUGCCUAACACAUGCAAGUCGAACGCGAAAGGGGGCUUCGGCUCCUAAGUAGAGUGGCGUCCGGGUGAGUAACACGUAGGUAAUCUGCCUUCGGGUGGGGAAUAACCAGUCGAAAGAUUGGCUAAUACCGCAUAAUGCAGCGGCACCUAAUGGUGAUUAGUUGUUAAAGCGGGGGAGUCGUAAGACCUCGCGCCUGAAGAGGAGCCUGCGGCAGAUUAGCUAGUUGGUGAGGUAAUGGCUCACCAAGGCUUCGAUCUGUAGCUGGUCUGAGAGGACGGCCAGCCACACUGGCACUGACACACGGGCCAGACUCCUACGGGAGGCAGCAGUGGGGAAUCUUGCGCAAUGGGCGAAAGCCUGACGCAGCGACGCCGCGUGAUGGAUGACGGCCUUCGGUU